Long non-coding RNA from Clupea harengus (Atlantic herring), 1178 nucleotides. The record is from Ensembl. NCBI's taxonomy places the organism in Eukaryota, Metazoa, Chordata, Actinopteri, Clupeiformes, Clupeidae.
UGCUCUGCAUGGUGGUGUUCGGGCUGCCAACACUCCCUGAAGGACUGGUUGGUCCUCAAGCCGCGUCGGGGACGGGGGGCCCCAUUCCUCCCCCAAGGGUGAGAGAAGGCGCAGAGGUGAAAAGGGGAAACGGCGAAGUCGGGACGAUGGGGUGCUGUAAAGCUCUCCGCCGAAGCGGGUAGCCACCUUCACCCCCGAGCCCUUCCUAGCCGACCCAGAGCCGGUCGCGGCGCACCGCAGCCGGAGGAAGUGCGCCCGGCGGAGGCCGAGCCCGACCGGGCGGCGGUCCCCAGAGGGGAUCCGACACGCACCGGAAGGGCCGACCGGACCCGCCGGGUUGAAUCCCCCGGGCGGACGGCGCGGACCCCAUCCGUUUACCUCUUAACGGUUUCACGCCCUCUUGAUCCUGUCUUUGCUCCCUCACCCCAACAGCAGGACAGUGGCCCACAGUGGACCCUCCACGCUCCAUGUAUGUCUUACCUACACUCUCUGUCUUGUCUUACUAACUUUGUACACACACCCCUCACCCUAGAAGCACCCCUGCCCACCCUGUACCCUCCGUGUGAGUCUUCAUGAUAUCUCACUAACAGUCUUGUGUCUUACUAAUAUUGGUCAGCCCAGAUCCCCUUCCAAGGCCUCACCAUCAGCAUCUUCCUGUCCAGAUGUCCUUUUGAUGACAUUUGUUGCAACCAUAGGACCCUGACUACAGCUUCACGCAUAUUACCAUCUUCGCUCCCUCACCCCAGCAGCAGGGCAUUGGCACACAGUGCCCUUCACAUUGUGUCACUGAGAAUGUAGACCGACUUUUCCUUGUUUAUGAUUUGCUGCUCAUUUGGGAUUUUUACUUUUAUGAUAUCUUCUAGGCGGUUGGCAACCUGCACAAGGGUUUUUUUUCCCAGAUCUUACCAUUGUUUUAAUUUUAUACAGCUUUGUGUCACUAUACCUGAAAAUGAAAAUAUACCCUCAUGGUUUAAUAAAGUGUAUAAAGGAAUAUUGUAUUGUAUUGAAUUUAAUUUAAUUAAGACCACCACCUUCACACACACACUCUGUUACUGAACUCACAAGGUAGUAGGUUGUAUGUAUAAUGUCCAUUUCCUAGUCUGUUAAAAGAUAUGUGUAUUAUGUUAUACGUUUUUUAGCUGCAUUAACGGCAUGGUCAUGGUCAAUUUUUUGCCCCA